This 519-nucleotide ribosomal RNA is filed under the name uncultured bacterium. RNAcentral describes it as "partial 16S ribosomal RNA". It matches the Rfam family "Bacterial small subunit ribosomal RNA", at positions 28 to 507 of the family's 1533-position model. The record is from RNAcentral.
GACGAACGCUGGCGGCGUGCCUAAUACAUGCAAGUCGAGCGAGUCUGCCUUGAAGAUCGGAGUGCUUGCACUCUGUGAAACAAGAUACAGGCUAGCGGCGGACGGGUGAGUAACACGUGGGUAACCUGCCCAAGAGAUCGGGAUAACACCUGGAAACAGAUGCUAAUACCGGAUAACAACAGAUGAUGCCUAUCAACUGUUUAAAAGAUGGUUCUGCUAUCACUCUUGGAUGGACCUGCGGUGCAUUAGCUAGUUGGUAGGGUAACGGCCUACCAAGGCGAUGAUGCAUAGCCGAGUUGAGAGACUGAUCGGCCACAUUGGGGCUGAGACACGGCCCAAACUCCUACGGGAGGCAGCAGUAGGGAAUCUUCCACAAUGGACGCAAGUCUGAUGGAGCAACGCCGCGUGAGUGAAGAAGGGUUUCGGCUCGUAAAGCUCUGUUGUUGGUGAAGAAGGACAGGGGUAGUAACUGACCUUUGUUUGACGGUAAUCAAUUAGAAAGUCACGGCUAACUAAGUG